GUUUCUAUAGAUUAAGCAAAUUACGAAGCUGUUAACUUCGGGAUACUGGUUUUCAGUUAGAAACG
Molecule: transfer RNA, 65 nt
Filed under: Eudiplozoon sp. DZ-2018
Lineage: Eukaryota; Metazoa; Platyhelminthes; Monogenea; Mazocraeidea; Diplozoidae
Description: tRNA-Asn
Source: RNAcentral